RNAcentral lists this ribosomal RNA (253 nucleotides) under uncultured bacterium. RNAcentral describes it as "partial 16S ribosomal RNA". It matches the Rfam family "Bacterial small subunit ribosomal RNA", at positions 524 to 776 of the family's 1533-position model. The record is from RNAcentral.
UACGUAGGGGGCAAGCGUUGUCCGGAAUCAUUGGGCGUAAAGCGCGUGUAGGCGGGUUGUCAAGUCCGCUGUGAAAGCCCGAGGCUCAACCUCGGAGGGUCGGUGGAUACUGACAGUCUUGAAGGUGCUAGGGGGAGAUGGAAUUACCGGUGUAGCGGUGAAAUGCGUAGAGAUCGGUAGGAACACCAGUGGCGAAGGCGGGUCUCUGGACAGUUCCUGACGCUGAGGCACGAAGGUCAGGGGAGCAAACGGG